CAGUAGCCGCGGUAAUACGUAGGGUGCGAGCGUUAAUCGGAAUUACUGGGCGUAAAGCGUGCGCAGGCGGUUAUAUAAGACAGAUGUGAAAUCCCCGGGCUCAACCUGGGACCUGCAUUUGUGACUGUAUAGCUAGAGUACGGUAGAGGGGGAUGGAAUUCCGCGUGUAGCAGUGAAAUGCGUAGAUAUGCGGAGGAACACCGAUGGCGAAGGCAAUCCCCUGGACCUGUACUGACGCUCAUGCACGAAAGCGUGGGGAGCAAACAGGAUUAGAUACCCGCGUAGUCCCUGUCUCUUAUAC
This 301-nucleotide ribosomal RNA is filed under the name uncultured bacterium. RNAcentral describes it as "partial 16S ribosomal RNA". It matches the Rfam family "Bacterial small subunit ribosomal RNA", at positions 509 to 807 of the family's 1533-position model. The record is from RNAcentral.